RNAcentral lists this ribosomal RNA (460 nucleotides) under uncultured bacterium. Its description in RNAcentral is "partial 16S ribosomal RNA". It matches the Rfam family "Bacterial small subunit ribosomal RNA", at positions 338 to 795 of the family's 1533-position model. The record is from RNAcentral.
CCUACGGGAGGCAGCAGUGAGGAAUAUUGGUCAAUGGGCGGGAGCCUGAACCAGCCAAGUCGCGUGAGGGAAGACGGUCCUGUGGAUUGUAAACCUCUUUUGGCGGGGAGCAAUGCCGGGCACGUGUGCCCGGAGGGAGAGUACCCGCAGAAUAGGCAUCGGCUAACUCCGUGCCAGCAGCCGCGGUAAUACGGAGGAUGCGAGCGUUAUCCGGAUUUAUUGGGUUUAAAGGGUGCGUAGGCGGCUUUUUAAGUCAGCGGGAAAAGGUCCGGGCUCAACCCGGGCCGGCCGUUGAAACUGGGGAGCUUGAGUUGGCGAGAAGUAUGCGGAAUGCGUGGUGUAGCGGUGAAAUGCAUAGAUAUCGCGCAGAACUCCGAUUGCGAAGGCAGCAUACCGGCGCCAGACUGACGCUGAGGCACGAAAGCGUGGGGAUCGAACAGGAUUAGAUACCCUUGUAGUC